RNAcentral lists this ribosomal RNA (468 nucleotides) under uncultured bacterium. Its description in RNAcentral is "partial 16S ribosomal RNA". It matches the Rfam family "Bacterial small subunit ribosomal RNA", at positions 28 to 507 of the family's 1533-position model. The record is from RNAcentral.
GACGAACGCUGGCGGCGUGCCUAAUACAUGCAAGUCGAACGGAAAGGCCCUGCUUUUGUUGGGUGCUCGAGUGGCGAACGGGUGAGUAACACGUGUGUAACCUGCCCUUGACUUUGGGAUAACUUUUGGAAACUAGGGCUAAUACCGCAUAGGAGCUCAUGCUGCAUGGCGUUGGUUGGAAAGUUGCGGUGGUUUGGGCUGGUUUCGUGGCUUAUGCGCUUGUUGGUGUGGUAGUGGCUUACCACGGCUAUGAGGGGUAGCCGGCCUGAGAGGGUGACCGGGCACAUUGGGACUGAGGUAGGGCCCAGACGGCAACGGGAGGCAGCAGGGGGAAACAUUGCGCAAUGGGCCGAAGCCGGAUGCAGCGGUGUCGGGUGCGGAAUGACGGUAUUCGGGGUAGAAACAGCUUUGGCCUGGAACGUAGCCAGAGUGACGGUAACGGGUAAGAAAGCAACGGCUAACUACGUG